GUUAUGAAUAUUAUUAGUGGAUGUCCUGGCCCAUGUAAUUGGCCCAUUAUGUUUACCUAUAUAUAGAUACUAUGUAUCACUAUAUUGUAACCCUAAUCCUAAUGGUGAAUAACAUACACUAUUCAUUCUCUCUUCUUCAUCUAUACUACUGUUCUUAUUUACAUUAGUUUAUAACACGUUAUCAGCACGAGCUUACCAACUGAGGUACGCAAUUCUUAUUCUAUU
RNAcentral lists this long non-coding RNA (225 nucleotides) under Trifolium pratense (red clover). Its description in RNAcentral is "long non-coding RNA (TPRA_LNC005052)". Lineage: Eukaryota; Viridiplantae; Streptophyta; Magnoliopsida; Fabales; Fabaceae. The record is from RNAcentral.